Non-coding RNA from Crenichthys baileyi (White River springfish), 97 nucleotides. Lineage: Eukaryota; Metazoa; Chordata; Actinopteri; Cyprinodontiformes; Goodeidae. The record is from the annotation of a GenBank genome assembly.
GGCCCUUCAGUGGCCCAGUGGUAGUGAAGGCACACCAUAUGCAGAGGCUACAGUCCUCAAUCCAGUUGUCCUGGGUUUAAUACCCAGCCCUGGGCCA